This 229-nucleotide unclassified non-coding RNA is filed under the name Hevea brasiliensis (rubber tree). Lineage: Eukaryota; Viridiplantae; Streptophyta; Magnoliopsida; Malpighiales; Euphorbiaceae. The record is from RNAcentral.
GAUAGCCCACCAAAAAAUCACACAUGAAGAGGUGGUUCUUGCAGUUUGAAUUUCAAGCGCUCAGACAUUUGAACGCAAUCGUGUUAUAGGAAUUUCUCGCAGUUCACGUUUGAUGCACAGAUAUUCACCCAGUAAAGACAUCACUACAAGCCCAGUACCAUUCACAACCCACCACGUGAUUGAGGAAGGCCACCCUCCAUAAAUGAUACAAAUGAAAAGGUGGAAUAUA